UACGUAGGUGGCGAGCGUUGUCCGGAUUUACUGGGUGUAAAGGGCGUGCAGGCGGGAGCGCAAGUCAGAUGUGAAAGCUCCGGGCUCAACCCGGAGACUGCAUAUGAAACUGUGUUUCUUGAGUGAUGGAGAGGCAGGCGGAAUUCCUCGUGUAGCGGUGAAAUGCAUAGAUAUGAGGAGGAACACCAGUGGCGAAGGCGGCCUGCUGGACAUUAACUGACGCUGAGGCGCGAAAGCGUGGGGAGCAAACAGGAUUAGAUACC
This 263-nucleotide ribosomal RNA is filed under the name uncultured bacterium. Its description in RNAcentral is "partial 16S ribosomal RNA". It matches the Rfam family "Bacterial small subunit ribosomal RNA", at positions 524 to 786 of the family's 1533-position model. The record is from RNAcentral.